Molecule: small RNA, 79 nt
Filed under: Maribacter arcticus
Lineage: Bacteria; Pseudomonadati; Bacteroidota; Flavobacteriia; Flavobacteriales; Flavobacteriaceae
Description: Flavo-1 RNA
Rfam family: Flavo-1 RNA
Source: RNAcentral
UUUUUGCCUUAGGGAUAGAAGUGAAAAGCCCGCAUUCGCCUUUUACGAAGCGUACUUGUAACGAAUAGCCCGACCCCAA